RNAcentral lists this ribosomal RNA (253 nucleotides) under uncultured bacterium. RNAcentral's name for it is "partial 16S ribosomal RNA". It matches the Rfam family "Bacterial small subunit ribosomal RNA", at positions 524 to 776 of the family's 1533-position model. The record is from RNAcentral.
UACAGAGACUGCAAGCGUUAUUCGGAUUCACUGGGCGUAAAGGGUGCGCAGGUGGCCAAGUGUGUUAGGCGUGAAAGCCCGGGGCUUAACCCCGGAAUUGCACCUAAAACUACUUGGCUAGAGCAUUGGUGAGGGGAGCAGAAUUCAUGGUGUAGCAGUGAAAUGCGUAGAUAUCAUGAGGAAUACCGGUGGCGAAGGCGGCAUCCUGGACCAACACUGACACUGAGGAGCGAAAGCCAGGGGAGCAAACGGG